This 432-nucleotide long non-coding RNA is filed under the name Homo sapiens (human). Its description in RNAcentral is "non-protein coding lnc-ANKRD55-2:1". The record is from RNAcentral. Lineage: Eukaryota; Metazoa; Chordata; Mammalia; Primates; Hominidae.
AUAGCAUUAGGAGAUAUACCUAAUGUAAAUGACUAGUUAACGGGUGCAGCACACCAACAUGGCACAUGUAUCAUAUGUAACCUGCAUGUUGUGCACAUGUACCCUAGAACUUAAAGUAUAAUAAACAAAAAAAGUGGGUGGGCAUUUAUGUGUAUAUGUGUUCAUGAGCAUGUACCUAUGGUGUAUUGUUUUUAGACCUCUUAAAUUGAUAAGACUCAGAGACAGAAUAUCUAAGAAGAUGAAAUGUAACUGGAAUUAAAAGAAAGAUCCAAGCCAAAAUUCUUGAAAUUAUUUUGUUUGAAGGUAGUAGUUGAAGUCAUGUCUUCAAAGAAGUUGGUAUUUAAAAAGAAAAGUCGAUGCCCAGUACUUUAUCUUUGGGUACCUUCAUAGCCUGGAGAUAAAAGCUAGCAGAGAAUUCAACUACAUUAUCUG